This 521-nucleotide ribosomal RNA is filed under the name uncultured bacterium. RNAcentral describes it as "bacterial SSU rRNA". It matches the Rfam family "Bacterial small subunit ribosomal RNA", at positions 16 to 518 of the family's 1533-position model. The record is from RNAcentral.
AUUAUGGCUCAGAACGAACGCUGGUAGCGUGGAUUAGGCAUGCAAGUCGAACGGGAUCCGGAAGGCAGGCAAUGUCGGCCGGUGAGAGUGGCGGAAGGGCGAGGAACACGUGGGCAACCUGUCUUGAGGUGGGGAAAACCUCGGGAAACUGAGGCUAAUACCGAAUGUGGCGCGGAAGGGCAUCCUUCCUGCGCUAAAGGGGGCGAAAGCUCCCCCUCUUCGAGGGGCUCGCGCACCAUCAGCUAGUUGGCGGGUAACGGCCCACCAAGGCUCACGGUUAGCUGGUCUGAGAGGAUGGCCAGCCGCACUGGGACUGAGAUACUGCCCAGACUCCUACGGGAGGCUGCAGUCGAGGAUCAUUCGCAAUGGGCGAAAGCCUGACGAUGCGACGCUGCGUGGAGGAAUGAAGGCCUUCGGGUUGUAAACUCCUGUCAUGAGGGAAAAGGAGACCCUGCCCAAUACGCAGGGGAUUUGAUGGUACCUCAAGAGGAAGGGACGGCUAACUCUGUGCCAGCAGCCGC